AAAUGAAUAGACGGGGACCCGCACAAGUGGUGGAGCAUGUGGUUUAAUUCGAAGAUACGCGAAAAACCUUACCUGGCCUUGACAUUGAUAGAAUCCAGCAGAGAUGCAGGAGUGCCCUUCGGGGAGCUUGAAAACAGGUGCUGCACGGCUGUCGUCAGCUCGUGUCGUGAGAUGUUGGGUUAAGUCCCGCAACGAGCGCAACCCUCGUCCUUAGUUGCCAGCAGGUUAAGCUGGGCACUCUAGGGAGACUGCCUUCGCAAGAAGGAGGAAGGUGAGGACGACGUCAAGUCAUCAUGGCCCUUACGGCCAGGGCUACACACGUGCUACAAUGGGGCGUACAGAGUGUUGCAAUACCGCGAGGUGGAGCCAAUCACUUAAAGCGUCUCUCAGUUCGGAUUGUUCUCUGCAACUCGAGAGCAUGAAGCUGGAAUCACUAGUAAUCGUAGAUCAGCAUUGCUACGGUGAAUACGUUCCCGGGUCUUGUACACACCGCCCGU
This 497-nucleotide ribosomal RNA is filed under the name uncultured bacterium. RNAcentral's name for it is "bacterial SSU rRNA". It matches the Rfam family "Bacterial small subunit ribosomal RNA", at positions 903 to 1397 of the family's 1533-position model. The record is from RNAcentral.